RNAcentral lists this ribosomal RNA (250 nucleotides) under uncultured bacterium. Its description in RNAcentral is "partial 16S ribosomal RNA". It matches the Rfam family "Bacterial small subunit ribosomal RNA", at positions 524 to 773 of the family's 1533-position model. The record is from RNAcentral.
UACGGAGGGUCCAAGCGUUAAUCGGAAUUACUGGGCGUAAAGCGCGCGUAGGCGGUUAGAUCAGUCAGAUGUGAAAGCCCUGGGCUCAACCUGGGAACUGCAUCUGAUACUGUUUAGCUAGAGUUUGGUAGAGGAGUGUGGAAUUUCCUGUGUAGCGGUGAAAUGCGUAGAUAUAGGAAGGAACACCAGUGGCGAAGGCGACACUCUGGACCAAAACUGACGCUGAGGUGCGAAAGCGUGGGGAGCAAAC